UAGGAUUCCCUUAGUAGCGGCGAGCGAACAGGGAAAAGCCCAGCACUGAAUCCCGCGGCCGAAAACGGACGCUGGGAAAUGUAGUGUUAGGGAGAAUCCGUUAUCUCGGAAUUGUGCGACGCGUCCAAGUCCUUCUUGAACGGGGUCACAGCCCAUAGAGGGUGCCAGGCCCGUAGCGACCGUUGUCAAUUGCGAGAGGAUUUCUCCUCAGAGUCGGGUUGCUUGAGAGUGCAGCCCUAAGUGGGUGGUAAACUCCAUCUAAGGCUAAAUAUGACCACGAGACCGAUAGCGAACAAGUACCGUGAGGGAAAGUUGAAAAGAACUUUGAAGAGAGAGUUCAAUAGUACGUGAAACCGUUUAGGGGUAAACCUGAGAAACCCGAAAGAUCGAACGGGGAGAUUCAGCGUGUCUCUUUUCUUGACGUGUUGGUUGCGCGACAGAACAGGGCUCUUUAGCGUUGUCUCUGCGUCUUCUGUUCACUUAUGUCUUGACUGAACGCGUGCACUUCUCCCCCAGUAGAACGUUGCGAUCCGUUGGGUGCCGGUCUAAGGCCCGUGGUGGUGCCCAUCUUAAGCAGCUUGCUGUUUUGGAUGAACCCAUGGUGACCCGGCCGGCGCGCUCGACGGUAUACAGAAAGGCGCAAGGCCGCUACAUUAAGUUAGCAUUCGACCUGUGGCAAGCGCGCUUGUUGGAUUGGUGUACGGACCAUGUGUCAGUCCCAACCGCAAGUGGCUGUUAGUUGCAGUGUUCUCGAAUAGAUCUUGUUUAACGCCAAUCUGCAACGCUAUAGCUUUGGGUACUUUCAGGACCCGUCUUGAAACACGGACCAAGGAGUCUAGCAUGUGCGCGAGUCAUUGGGAUAUUAUUAAACCUAAAGGCGCAAUGAAAGUAAAUGGGUGUCUUGCACACACAAAGGGAAGAUGGGUGGUCGUUAAAGAUUGCCUCGCAUUCCCGGGGCGUCUCAUUCUCAUUGCGAGAAGAGGCGCACCAAGAGCGUACACGCUGGGACCCGAAAGAUGGUGAACUAUGCCUGGUCAGGACGAAGUCAGGGGAAACCCUGAUGGAGGUCCGUAGCGAUUCUGACGUGCAAAUCGAUCGUCGGAACUGGGUAUAGGGGCGAAAGACUAAUCGAACCAUCUAGUAGCUGGUUCCCUCCGAAGUUUCCCUCAGGAUAGCUGGCGCUCAUUGUAUACGAGUUUCAUCCGGUAAAGCGAAUGAUUAGAGGCAUUGGGAUCGAAACGAUUUCAACCUAUUCUCAAACUUUAAAUGGGUGAGAUCUUCGGCUUGCUUGAACUCCUGAAGCCGCAAGACUCGAAUCAGAG
Molecule: ribosomal RNA, 1322 nt
Filed under: Sirrhas limbatus
Lineage: Eukaryota; Metazoa; Arthropoda; Insecta; Coleoptera; Chalcodryidae
Description: eukaryotic LSU rRNA
Rfam family: Eukaryotic large subunit ribosomal RNA
Source: RNAcentral